RNAcentral lists this long non-coding RNA (1199 nucleotides) under Monodelphis domestica (gray short-tailed opossum). Its description in RNAcentral is "lncRNA (ENSMODG00000051062.1)". Lineage: Eukaryota; Metazoa; Chordata; Mammalia; Didelphimorphia; Didelphidae. The record is from RNAcentral.
ACGUGAUACAGCAUAGAAAUGUCAAGUAUCAUUGUACACUUAUCUAGAGUGCUGAGGCAGACGAUGGAAAUAGACUCCUGUGUUUGAUCAGCAUGAUGUAACCUUAGGCAGGACUCUCUACUGCUCCUGCUUGUGUGCUCUCUCUCUCUCUCUCUCCCUCUCUCUCUCUCUGUCUCUCUCUCUCUCUCUCCCUCUUUCUCUCUCUCUCUCCCUCUCUCUCUUUCCCUCCUCUCUCCUCUUUGUCUCUGUCUCUGUCUCUCUCUCUCUCUGUCUCUGUCUCUCUCUCUCUCCCCUCCUAUUUCUCUCUCUCUCUCUGCCUCUGUCUCUGUCUUUUUGUCUCUGUCUAUCUUUCUAUCUCUGUCCCUCUCUCUGGCUCUCUUUCUUUCCCUUCCUGUCCUUCUCUCUGUCUCUGUCUCUAUCUCUUUCUCUCCCUCGUUGUCCCUCUCUCUGUCUCUAUCUCUGUCCUUUUCUCUGUCUUUAUCUUUCUGUCCAUCUCUGUCUCUCUAUCUCUUUCUCUGUCUCUCUGUCUCUAUCUCUGUCUGUCUGUCUCUCUGUCUCUCUCUGCCUCUGUCUCUGCCUCUCUAUCUCUCUCUGUCUCUCUCUCUCUCUCCCUCUCUCUCUCUCUCUCCCUCUCUCUCUUUCCCUCCUCUCUCCUCUUUGUCUCUGUCUCUGUCUCUCUCUCUCUCUCCCCCCCCCCCAUUUCUCUCUCUCUCUGCCUCUGUCUCUGUCUUUUUGUCUCUGUCUAUCUUUCUAUCUCUGUCCCUCUCUCUGGCUCUCUUUCUUUCCCUUCCUGUCCUUCUCUCUGUCUCUGUCUCUAUCUCUUUCUCUCCCUCGUUGUCCCUCUCUCUGUCUCUAUCUCUGUCCUUUUCUCUGUCUUUAUCUUUCUGUCCAUCUCUGUCUCUCUAUCUCUUUCUCUGUCUCUCUGUCUCUAUCUCUGUCUGUCUGUCUAUCUGUCUCUCCAGCUUAUCUCAUUUGUUGAAUUCUCUAAAGACCUAGUAAGGAUCAUAAACCUCUUGGGGGUAGCCCAGAGAGUCUCACUCAUAUUGUAAGCACAGGCAUUUUGUGGUAAGGAUAGAAAGAUCUAGUUGAGAAGUUUGAAGGCCUGGGUUCAAGUCCAAUGUGUUCUCUGAGAAGUCAUUUAAAGCCUCUUGAGUCAGACAACGGUGUAUAAUGGAAAGAUUAUUCUUUUUGAAGUCAAG